Molecule: RNA transcript, 1320 nt
Organism: Prunus persica (peach)
Lineage: Eukaryota; Viridiplantae; Streptophyta; Magnoliopsida; Rosales; Rosaceae
Exons: 3
Source: RefSeq, a predicted model, not a curated record
CAAAAGAAAUCCUCGUUAUGAACUAUUUUUCGUUUCAUUUGACUUUACAGUCUCUGAUUUUUGGUGAUUUAUUUUCCCCCGAAAGGGGGCUGAGUUUGAUUCUCUCAAAUGGGGUUUUAACUUGCAAAACAAUUUUGAGUCUCGAGGAAAGGAGCCAGUGCAAGGAGCCAAACAAUGGCAAUGCCAUGGGCCAUGACCUUUUGGAUGGCAAAAAUGGUGUGGUUGGCUGUGACCGGGUGGGUUUCGUCUUGCCUGACUGUUGCUGAUGAGGUUGCUGGUUCCAUCAGAACUGGAGAUAUUGGCGCUUUUCAUGUUGGCUGAUUCUACUGCCAAAUUCACCAGUUCAAAGCUCUGCUGAUUGGAGGUCAUGGAUAAGAUGAAGGGAUGGUGGAUGCAUGACCUGGAGAUCCAAAGCAGCAUUUAAUUUUAUUUUGUGAAUGCUGUGAGUAGAUCUUUCAAUGGAUUUGUGAUAUGUUGUUUCAUAGUAAAUACAAAAUCAUAGUUGGGAUUUUCUUUGUACUGGAAAGCUAUAUUUUUCACAUUUUCAGUUUCAUAUUAAAUACAAAAUCAUAGUUGGGAUUUUCCUUGUGCUGGAAAGUUGUAUUUUUCUCAUUUUUGGUUGGAACAUUGCUUAAAAAGUUUGGUUGUCUGACUUUAAAACCAAGUUUUCCUGGUGGGCAGCUUUGUAUAGCAAAUUUCCUGAGUUCAAACAAUGGUGCUAUGCAAAUUUGGUUGCUAUUCAACAAUUUCUGGGAGGUAUUUUUGCCAAAAAAUCGUACUAUUUGGAUGCUUGGAAGUCAAAAAAUGAAAUACUGGGAAACUAUGGGGCCUACUUGAUUUAUUUUAUUUUUAAAUUUAGGUUGAUAGUGAAUAUAAAGUGAAAUUUUCUGCACUUUACAGUUUAUACUUGCACUCGAAGUGGUCCUUCCUUGUCUUCCUCAUGUGGCUUGACCUAUCUAAUCUAAGUUUGGUACAGGUUUAGAAACUAGGAGAUCUUAAUCUUCGUUUACAAUUCGUUUGAUACGAUCUGAUUUGAUUAUCACCCCUUAUGUGAUGAUGAGGCCCCCACCCAAGGUACUGGUUGCUAGUUACAAACUUACAACUUAGAGCGAGUUCAGACUCUGCCUGUUUUGGACCAAAAAACUUUGUGUGGGGUUGCUCAUGCCGCGUAGCAGUGCUGAGUUAUAGACUAGUAGAUAUAUUCUAGUUUCUUGAACGGAGGAUGUAUGUAGAGAAGGGCAGAUCUGCAUUUCUUUUUGUUCAUAUGUAUGUCACACGCUCAAUAAAAUGAGAAGAGUCUCAUGAAACUCAAAUUUAUAA